This 230-nucleotide RNase P RNA is filed under the name Bacteroidales bacterium. RNAcentral's name for it is "partial RNase P RNA component class A". It matches the Rfam family "Bacterial RNase P class A", at positions 1 to 248 of the family's 367-position model. Rfam says of the family: Ribonuclease P (RNase P) is a ubiquitous endoribonuclease, found in archaea, bacteria and eukarya as well as chloroplasts and mitochondria. Its best characterised activity is the generation of mature 5'-ends of tRNAs by cleaving the 5'-leader elements of precursor-tRNAs. Cellular RNase Ps are ribonucleoproteins. Lineage: Bacteria; Pseudomonadati; Bacteroidota; Bacteroidia; Bacteroidales. The record is from RNAcentral.
GAAGCAGGCCGGUCUGUCGCUGGCACAUACGUGCGAGAGGAAAGUCCGGGCAACACAGAGCACCGCCCUUCUUAACUGGAAGACAGCCGCGAGGUUGUGGUAAAUGCAGAAGAAAACAACCGCCCGCAAGGGUAAGGGUGAGAAGGCAGGGUAAGAGCCUACCAAUAUCGGCAGUGAUGUCGAUUGUUGUGCAUCGGCGGGUCGAAAGGCCAAAUAUACCGGUAUAUUCG